RNAcentral lists this ribosomal RNA (497 nucleotides) under uncultured bacterium. Its description in RNAcentral is "partial 16S ribosomal RNA". It matches the Rfam family "Bacterial small subunit ribosomal RNA", at positions 28 to 507 of the family's 1533-position model. The record is from RNAcentral.
GAUGAACGCUGGCGGCGUGCCUAAUACAUGCCAGUCGUGCGAACAGACGAGGAGCUUGCUCCUCUGACGUUAGCGGCGGACGGGUGAGUAACACGUGGAUAACCUACCUAUAAGACUGGGAUAACUUCGGGAAACCGGAGCUAAUACCGGAUAAUAUAUUGAACCGCAUGGUUCAAUAGUGAAAGACGGUUUUGCUGUCACUUAUAGAUGGAUCCGCGCCGCAUUAGCUAGUUGGUAAGGUAACGGCUUACCAAGGCAACGAUGCGUAGCCGACCUGAGAGGGUGAUCGGCCACACUGGAACUGAGACACGGUCCAGACUCCUACGGGAGGCAGCAGUAGGGAAUCUUCCGCAAUGGGCGAAAGCUUGACGGAGCAACGCCGCGUGAGUGAUGAAGGUCUUCGGAUCGUAAAACUCUGUUAUUAGGGAAGAACAAAUGUGUAAGUAACUAUGCACGUCUUGACGGUACCUAAUCAGAAAGCCACGGCUAACUACGUG